UACGGAGGGCGCACGCGUUGUUCGGAAUCACUGGGCGUAAAGCGCGUGUAGGAGGCAUGGUAAGUCGGGUGUGAAAGCCCGGAGCUCAACUCCGGAACUGCCUUCGAAACUACCUCGCUCGAGGCCCGGAGAGGGUGGUGGAAUUCCCGGUGUAGAGGUGAAAUUCGUAGAUAUCGGGAGGAACACCAGUGGCGAAGGCGGCCACCGGGGCGGUGACUGACGCUGAGACGCGAAAGCGUGGGGAGCGAACAGG
This 253-nucleotide ribosomal RNA is filed under the name uncultured bacterium. RNAcentral's name for it is "partial 16S ribosomal RNA". It matches the Rfam family "Bacterial small subunit ribosomal RNA", at positions 524 to 776 of the family's 1533-position model. The record is from RNAcentral.